RNAcentral lists this ribosomal RNA (253 nucleotides) under uncultured bacterium. RNAcentral's name for it is "partial 16S ribosomal RNA". It matches the Rfam family "Bacterial small subunit ribosomal RNA", at positions 524 to 776 of the family's 1533-position model. The record is from RNAcentral.
UACAGAGGGUGCGAGCGUUAAUCGGAAUUACUGGGCGUAAAGCGUGCGUAGACGGCUAUCUAAGUCGGGUGUGAAAGCCCCGGGCUCAACCUGGGAAUUGCAUUCGAGACUGAAUAGCUAGGGUGCGGUAGAGGGAAGCGGAAUUUCCGGUGUAGCGGUGAAAUGCGUAGAUAUCGGAAGGAACAUCAGUGGCGAAGGCGGCAUCCUGGACCAAUAUUGACGCUGAGGAGCGAAAGCCAGGGGAGCAAACGGG